RNAcentral lists this long non-coding RNA (293 nucleotides) under Homo sapiens (human). RNAcentral describes it as "LHRI_LNC1811.1". Lineage: Eukaryota; Metazoa; Chordata; Mammalia; Primates; Hominidae. The record is from RNAcentral.
CUGGUCUCCCGCAGUGCCCUCAGGCUUGCUAGGAUUGGGAAAUUCCAGCCUGGUGAAUUCUAGUCAGACCGGUUGUCUGCUCUCAAACUCUCUUUCCUGUUAAGAUGUUUAUCAAGACAAUGCAUGCACAGGAGGACAUGGACCCUCAUCAGUAAUUCUAAUUUUGCCCUUGCCUUGUGAUCUUUUAUUGCCCUUUGAAGCAUGUGAUCCUUGUGACCUACUCCCUGUUCGUACAUCUACUCUCCUUCUAAAAUCCUAAUAAAAACUUGCUGGUUUUGCAGCUCAGGGUCGCC